AUGAUCACUUCAGCAGCACAUAAGCUAAAAUUGGAAUGAUACAGAGAAGAUUAGCAUGGCCCUUGCCCAAGGAUGACAUGAAAAUUUGUGAAAUGCUCCACAUUUUU
Molecule: small nuclear RNA, 107 nt
Organism: Choloepus hoffmanni (Hoffmann's two-fingered sloth)
Lineage: Eukaryota; Metazoa; Chordata; Mammalia; Pilosa; Megalonychidae
Source: Ensembl